GUGAGUGUAUUCUUCUGCUUUCUGACUGACUUUCUUUUGUAGGUAUUAAUUUUGUAGAACAUGUUUCUUCACUUCCCUUAAGUGUUCUCUUGUAGUGCUGCCAGACUUUGAGAGGACCACCAGCAGUCAUCAGAACCAGGUUGGGCCAACUGUGACUUCCACUCAGCCAUUUUACUGGAAUUUGUCCAUGCUUAGGGAGGUGUUGACUAAAUUAGAGAUGGUGCAGGACCAACAAACCACUGAGCUUACUUCAAGUACAGGAGGUCCAGGUGCAGCUUUUGGGUAAUGAAGGUUUACUGCCCCUGCAAGACCUUCCUCAACUGCAUAGUCUGGCGCAAAGGAUGCAACAGAGCCCAGAUUACAAGCAAAAACUGGUGAACUGGUUGGUGCUGAUUGACGGGGCGGAUGUGUGUGACUGCACCUGACGCAUAUUGAACAGGGUGAUUGCUAACUCCCUGGCAAAGAACCUCAACUGGAGGGGUCAAUAGAAAGACUUCACUGGCAACUCUCCAACUUGGAGAGGUCGUGAUUAUGUAUAUCUGUUUGCAUACAGAAUUAGCUGUCCCUCUCAGAUUAUAUGUAAGGGGUAACCCACAGCAAGGUGUGCAUUAUACAAGUUUAAUGCAUAAUGUGGAGGCAAAGAACGACUCGUUCAACUCGUUUAAUGCACACCUAGCCAUGGAUUACCCUGCUUAUACCAUGGUCUUUCCACAAUUA
Molecule: long non-coding RNA, 717 nt
Organism: Ictalurus punctatus (channel catfish)
Lineage: Eukaryota; Metazoa; Chordata; Actinopteri; Siluriformes; Ictaluridae
Source: Ensembl